Molecule: ribosomal RNA, 315 nt
Filed under: uncultured eukaryote
Lineage: Eukaryota
Description: partial 18S ribosomal RNA
Rfam family: Eukaryotic small subunit ribosomal RNA
Source: RNAcentral
CCCUUAGAUGUUCUGGGCUGCACGCGCGCUACACUGACGCACGCAACAGGUGCCUGCUCCGAGAGGACUGGGUAAUCAUUUGAGUGUGCGUCGUGAUGGGGAUAGAAUAUUGUAAUUAUUACUCUUCAACGAGGAAUUCCUAGUAAGCGCCAGUCAGCAGCUUGCGCUGAUUACGUCCCUGCCCUUUGUACACACCGCCCGUCGCUCCUACCGAUGGGUGAUCCGGUGAAUGAUUCGGACUUCAGCGGCUCCCCUGGGGUGCGCCGGAGAAAGUUUUGUGAACCUUAGCACUUGGAGGAAGGAGAAGUCGUAACA